Molecule: long non-coding RNA, 36331 nt
Filed under: Capsicum annuum
Lineage: Eukaryota; Viridiplantae; Streptophyta; Magnoliopsida; Solanales; Solanaceae
Description: long non-coding RNA (CANN_LNC014535)
Source: RNAcentral
UAUCUAUUAACUUUUUUUCUAAUCACAAAUGGGAAAGCACCUAGAAAUUGCUCAAUGGUAAAGACUUUGAUACUUUAGUUUCCUGGGAAACCCUCCUCUCUUUCUCUCUCUGGACUAUUUAGAAGAAUAUGAAUAAUAAUCUCUUUAAUAAUGUGUCCAACCAUUCUUCUUUCUUCCAAGCUUAUUCAGACGCAGUUGAAUUCAUGUAGCUUCAAAGUAGCACGCCCAAACCUUCUACCCUAUCCAUUAGUAUAGGUUGGGAACCUCCAUAUUUAGGUUCCUAUAAGCUUAAUACGGAUGGCUUUUGCUUUGGGAAUCUAGAAAAUAGGGUAUAGGGGGAGUUUUUAUAGAUCACUCUAGGAACUAGAUAUCUGGCUUUAAUAAUUAUUUUGUCAGGGCUACUACCACUUUAAUGGAAAUCCUUGUUCUCAAAGAAAGACUUAAUCAAGCCCUCCGCAAUAAACUCAAACCUCUGGAGAUCAAAAUUGACUCCAAAGAGGUAGUUAGAAUCCUGCAUAAAUGAAACUCACACUAUGAUGUUAUUUUAGAUAAAUGCAGGUUGAUGUUAGGAGAACUAGGAAGAGCAGCAGUGUACCACUGCUAUAGAGAGCAAAAUUAAGUGGCGAAUAUUUUGGCAAAGCAAGCUACAGCUAAGGAGAACCCAAACAAACUACAAAUUUUUAUAGUUCCACUAAUGUAUACCCAAGAUCAAGUAUGGGAAGACAUCAAUGGAACUAAGCAUAAUAGGUUAGUUAAUACAAGCAACACUCAACUGGGGAAUAACCCCUCAUCUUUUGUGGUUGAGCUAGACUAAUUUCAUUGCAUUGUAAUAUUGCAACUGCUACUUAUUAUUUUCCUUAAUGAAACCUCGUUUACCAAUAAAAAUAUAUAUAUAUAUAUAUAUAUUAAUACCUUAAACUUUUAGGCUAAGACUUGGACCACUUUACGUAUGUAAUUAGACCUAAAUCUGGUGAAUUUAAUUGUAUGUAGGUGUAAAGGCCAGUUAAGUGUUCGAAAGAUACUAAAUAUAAAUUAAGUUCAUAAGGAACCUCUACCAUAAAGUUAGGUUGCAAUUUUAUUUAUUGAUUAAGUUUUCAUGUAAGUUUUACUAGGCUCAACUUCAAACUAAAAUUCUUUCUAGAAUAUGAAGAGUUACGUGGGCCAUUAUCUAUCAAAAUUAAGGUCUUUGAGUCUACUUUCCAAUGUCACCACCGCUUGUCAAUAGGGAUUUCGAGUAGUAAGUUAUGAGCAUUUUACUGAGGGCGGUGAGGACAAACAACCUCUCUGAAGCUUCAUUCUCAAGGAAGCACGGAGGUCAUAGACCUGAUUUGCGGGGCUAUAGGCAAGGUGAUUCCCUGGCCUCUACAGUUAGUGCAUUUAAUCCAUUUAAGAGUAUUUUCAUCCUCAGACUUUUGAGUACUUAUUAUAUAUAUAUUCUAAAACCCUUUUUGACAGAUGAUAACACUUAGAAGCUUAUGUUUUUAAUUUCUCUCCUCCCUCCCUAACCUAAACUACAAGGAUUUUAAGAAAACUACACUCAAGAUUUAAGAAGGAGCAAUCUAUCAAGUUUCUUAUCCAUGUUGUAGCAUCUUCUAUUAACUAAGGUACACAAGGCUAACCUUCACGUGUGGAACCCUAGUUCUUCCCCACGAAUAUAUUCUUGUGAUUCUAGUUUCUUCUUUGAGUCAGAAUCCUUAAGUCUUAGUUUGUUUUAACUCUUGAUCAAAGCACAUGAAUUUUCCAUAAAAGUAUUUGAAUUUUAAAUAAGCCCCAAUCUCAUGUUUAUUAAUCUACUUUAUGAUUUUUAUAGAUUAUUUAUGAAUUUUGAAAGUAAUUAUGGAAAGUAUGUGUUUUGUCUAAAAAACUUAACUCGAAGAUUUUCAUAUGAAUUGAGCGCAAGGUGCACUAGCAUGAUUUUCAUAUGAUUUGGAGCGCAAGGCUUAUUAGCGUGAUUCUGAUAUGAUUUUUAGUUUAUUUUUAAAUAUUAAAAUAUAAGCAUAUAGUAUAUUUUGCGAGGAUAUUAUUAAUCAAAAAGGUCUGAAGUUCAGAUAAUAAAGUAACUAAAACAACAUGUGCCAGUAUAAAAUAAGAUCGCAUCACUGGUUCGAAGGAAUGGUUUUUAAGCCCAUGAUAAGCACAUAGAAUGAAUCCACAGAGUCAAAAUACCCUAUGCUUUGGCAAGUCAUAGGACGGCUUCCUAAUCAAGCAAUAUCUGGACAUGUCAUGACUCGAGACUAUCACCUAGUUGUAACACGUUGCUUAGAGUCACAAGUGAUCUCAAGAUAACUCAUGACUUGGCAUAACACAAAAAUACUGAAAUAAUGAGUGAAAACUAAAAUUAAAUGACAUAAUAAUAAGAAAAGAAAUAUCAAUAUGAAUGUACUGUUUGACAUAUUUAAUAUGCUAAAAAUAUAAUCGUUUGUUUGAAAGCUGCUUAAUAUGACGCAUUGCUGGGACAAGUCUUCCACUAACUCUAACUGUCUAAAACUGAAAUAAUAGCAUAAUAACAGUACUGAAAGCUCAUCCUCGGAUGAUGAAGACUUACCAAACUCUACUAUUUAUAUAGGUAUAUAAUUUGUUAACCACGAAUUGUAUGCUAAACCUCUGAACCUAUAUUAUAAAAUAAUAUAACACAAAGAAUAUAUGCAGUCAGUACUUUGAAUGUACUGAGCUUGUGGGAUAUGCAAUAUGUUAUAUGAACGGAAUAUGCUAAAGAUGACAUAUAAACUGAACAUUGAGCUGGAAUAUGUAAACUGACACAAUGAUCAUGUAAUGAGCAUGCAACUAUAUAAUAUAUUGGAUAAAUUGAAUAUGAGGUCAUACAAGGUUUGAGUCUGAACUAUGGGAGCUACUGUUAAUCGACAAAUACCCCAAUCUAUGAUAACUGGGGUCCAACCUAUAACCCUAGAUGGAAGGGUAUUAUGUACCUUGUCACGGGUAUGAAUACUGACUGACGUGGAUCUACUAAACUCAUAUAAAAAAGGACUAAGGUGUCAAGUCUGGUAUGAUGGUGACCCUUUAGAACCUAUGGUGGCGCUGUAGUUUUGGGACUUUGGGCCUUCUACUAAAGGUCUCAGCCUAACUGAGGGAUGAGCAUUUAUUCCUAUGUCCACUAGGUGCUAAGUACUACUCCCAAUCCAACAACAAUUGAUAACUGUUUUGUUCAUUAAAAUGAAGAACUGAUAAGCUCAAAAUGAUGAUAUUUGAGGUUGAUAGUAGACAUUUUAUCUUGAAAGCAUCCUAUAUCAUGUAAUUAUAAAGGACCAAGUAUUCAUUAACAUAUGCAUAAAAUCCUAGGUCAUUGGGUGUUCAUAACCUGCCAUCUUUAAAAAAUGCAACUACUCAUGAUAAUUCCCAUAAACUGAAUAACUUAAUGGAUUUUGUAACUCAAGUUCAAAAUUAUGAGUUAAAUGAUAUACCGAGGAUUCACAAUUAUAAAAAUCUAAUGAUAUUGAAAUUUAUCGGGAAACAUGGGUUCAUGACUCAAUUAUAACAAUGGACUGAAAUAUAAAGAAAUUCAUGACAUUCAUGAACCCUAGGCUCUAAGGAAAGAAUUAAAUUAAGGUAUUUAGUUUACUUCAAGACUCUGUAACGACCUUAAAAUUUGAUAAAACUUUUUAUUUUAUAUGAUUUGACUGUUUUAUCCCUCCUCGUAGUUGCAUUAUGGUAUUUUUGGGGUGUGGGUGUGAUUGUUAUGGUUUUUGAAGCAUUUUGGUACCAUUUAUGCAAUAUUGUGGUUUUUGAUGGCUUCGAGAGCCUUUGUUUGGACUUAUGUGGAUAUCUUUUGAUCUAUGUGAUGGAUGACCAAACAGACUACGUUAGCAGCUUUGGCAUAUCAAUUUUAGGCUAGGUAAACCUUUGGUUUGAGUCCCCAUGCACCCGAUCUCAUUUCAACCUAUUGACCAAAAAGUUGAAAAAUUAAAAAUAUGGGUAUGGGACCCACAUUUCGUCGAAACGACCUCGAAUGGAAAAUCUGACCUUUCUAGUAUAUAGGAAAUAUCGAUUUUAAUAUGGUAAUAUAUUUGGUGUGAUUUUACGGUUUUUAAAUCUCAUUUCGUCCUUUGGUUUGAAAAAUUACAAUUUCGAGUUUCGAGGGUCAAUUUUUUUAAAACAAUAUUUUUUUCAAAAAUCCGACCUUGUCAACACAUAUUAACGUCGAAUUUAGUAUGGUUGUAUAGUUUUUUUGAAUAUAUCAGACUCCGAAUGAAUCUCGAAUACCCCAUCAAACGGGUUGGACUUUAAAAAACAGCUUUUUCAGCUGGUGUAGUAUAUAAAAAUAGUUUUUUUGGCCCAUUUUGUCCAUUCUUUCACCUUACCUCUUGGGAGUUAAACCUUAAAAUAAUGUGGGAACUUAAAAGUAAAGUUUGUGGGAGCUUGAAAAGCUAGAUUAACAUCUAUUUCUUAGUUUCAUUACUGAUUAAGGUAAGAAUUUACCUUUUUCUUAUUAAUUUUUUUAUUAAUUCUCAAACCCCCAAAAAUCUUAGUGCUUGAUUUUUAAACUCCAAUUUCAUUCCUUUUCACUUGAAUAAUAUUUUUAUCUUAUAAUUGUUGGUUUUUCAUCAAUUUAACCAUCAAAAUAACUUCGAUCCUUGAUUUUAACUCAAAUUUCAAAGAUUUUACCCGGUAAAGCUCAAAAAUAGUUUUUCUUCAAUUUGAACCUCAUUUUCGACUCGAUUUAACUUGGGUUUUUAGAUAUAGGUUCCUAAAAAUAUGGGAAAAAUACUUUUAAAGUGAAUUUUUAAUCUUUCUUUUUUUCUGAAAACCCGUUCUGUGGGUUCGUUUUGACCCUGAAUCAAAAGUCGUCAAUAUAGGUGUCGUUGAUUUUAUUUUAACACGUAGAUUAUAUAUUUGAUAUUUUUAAUAUAUUUGGAAUUGUUAAUGAAAAGUAAGGUCGUGGGUUCACAGUGUAGCGAACCGAUUUUGACUUUUGAGGUAGGUUAUGACUUAACUCUUUUAAACUGAGCUGGGUAGCAAAAGAUGAUACAAAAUGCAUGUUAAGGGUGGUAAAUAAUCAUAGAAAAUAGCUAUCUAUGUUUUGGGCUCAUGUGGGGGCUUAUAUGUGAUGUAAUUGUCAAAAUUAAGAUAUUAUGUGAUGUGUGUGACAGUGUGGAGUUCUAUGCGGUGUUGAUAGCCCUGAAUAGAUGCGAAUAAUUGUAUUGUGUUGUUGAAAUGACUAAUAUGGUAUCAUUGGUGUAUUGUAAUAUAUUCAUACUUGUUGGUAUAUGAUACGUGUGGAAAUUCAUGAUGAAACAGAAAUAAUGAGUGGAUAUUGACUCACAUGAUUAUGGAAAUAUAUCAUUGUGGUUGGUGAUGAAAAUAUAUCAUGUGGUUGACUGUGGAAAUACUCAUUGUGAUUGGUUGUGAGCAUUACAUCCUUAUAUCAUACUCAUUCAUGAAAUAUUUGUACCAUUGUGGCAACACCUAAGUAACACUGAAAACACCUUUUAAAAAUCCUUCCCAAGGGAUGUGCUGGGAAGGAGAUAUUGUAACACCUUAUAAAACCCUUUCUGAGGGAUGUGCUGGAAAGAAGCUAUGAGAUAUGUGGAUUGUAUACAAGUUGACAAACCCCCCAUGGGUCCUACAUCGGGAAUCCUUAGCUCCGUAGGUAUAUAUGGGGAUUGUGCGACGAUCUUAGAGGUUGUGCAGUGACCUCGUGCAUCAUCAUCAUUAUCUUCAUAUAUGUUGUACUUACUAUAUUGUGUUUAUAUUAUGUUUUAUUAUCAUAUUGACUUGAAAUAUAUGUAAUUGUCUUAUCUUUUUUUACUUGUAUUUGAUGAUCUUGUAUAUGCAUGUUCCCCCUUAUUCCACUUAUAGGUGAUACAUACUCGUAUUCUAUCUUGGUGUGUAUAUGAUAUAUUAGAACUGUUACUGCAAGCAGUAAGGGCUACCGUAGUGGGACAUUUUCUGAUUGCAGGGAACGUGCUCUUAGUAUAUUUUGUAUGCUUUAUUUACUACUUUGCUUGGUCAGACUAUGAUACCUACUGAAUACAAGUAGACCAUACUCAUGCCUACUAUGCCCUUUUGAUGCAGGUCCUAGCUUGAGUGUGCCUUAGCUUUCUUGACUUGGGUGAUUAUUGGAGCUUUUAAUGUAGCGGUUGGACAUUUAUGCGUUCGUAGUUCACCUCUAUCUUUCUAUUAAUGUCUUUAUUAGUAUUCUAAGAUAGAUAUUAUUCCCUUGUGGUUAUGUUUUGAUGUAUUUGACUCCUGGACUAUAAUAGUAGUUCUUACACUAUUGACACCUGGUUUUGGGCAUGAUUGUUAUUUUGGAUAAGUACUUUCUACAUUAUUAUGAUUACUUAUAGGGUUUGGCUUCGUUCUGGAAGCCUCACCUUGGGAUAUUUCUAUCUUUUCCUCUUUUUGUAUUAGUUGGGUGAUAGGCUUACUUCUCAAGGUACGCUUUGACAAGUGCCAUCAUGACCCUCAUUUGUAGGUUAUAACAGACUCAAUGGGCGGAAGGAAAUCCAUAGAUAAAAUCCCACAUAACUUGAGAUAGAAACCUUGAUGAAACCUUUGAAUUUGGAGUCUUAAGUUGAAGAACCCUCAAUUUGCCUUGGGAGAAGAAAAUCGUCUCUUUCUUUGUCUUCUCUCUAUGUGUUGACUAAAUUUUGAGUUAAUGCAUGACUUGGGGCAUUUUAGUCUUAUACUUUAGUCUUAGAAUAGCUUAAGCAACAAGUUUUGGUGUUAAAAGGUUGGGAAAAGACUAAACAACCCCUUUGAAAAUGUUAUAAUAGUGCAAAAUAGUUUCGGCUGACGGUUUAGGUAAUAGACCAUCAAAAUGAAUAAUCAUAAAUUGAACUAUCACAAAAUGACCAAAUUUUGGUCUUAGUGUUUAAGACUUAUGGCUUGCACUAAUGGUUCAUCACAGGUGUGGCGGUUCGUCUCCCAAGCCAUCGCACUCUGGCAAACAGACAUCCUAUGGUAAAUUAAGCAUAACAUUUUACUUCGGUAUCAGAUUAAUGAAUGAUUAGUGGCAUUGGAAAGAAGACUCAAAGAAAAUUCUUUUGGUGGGUAUUUAUCCGUAAAACUACUAAUGUGCUAGGACUUAUUAUAAUUUGACUCUGACUAUAGAAAGAUUCUUCAUAAGAACUUAAUCGAUAAGGAAGGUUUCUACUUGGCUAUGAGCUAGGGACUACUUGCUGCCUUAAUACUUAUCUAAAUCACUUCUCAUACUAGCAAAACAUGAUGUUUGGUUCUAUAUGUAGUUGAAUUAUGACUUUAAUCUUAGCUUGAACUUUGGGAUGUUACAAUAUCUCCCACUUGGGGUUAUUCGUACCUAAAUAAAAACUAACUAAGCUGAAAGGUUAGGGAAUGAGAUGAGAUCCCAAUACCGAAUUUCUAAGUGAUGAAUACUGACAUGAAAACUGAGUUUAUAACUAAAACAUGGACUAAACUAAACUUGUGAAUGCAUGCUUUGACAAGAGAGUUACUGAUCGGUAUAAGGUGGAAAUAAUUAAGUAACAGAAAAUUAUUGCCUCAAGUUAGAACCGAGUUCAAAGAGAAAAGAUGGGGGUACUUGGUCAUCAUAUCCGCAUCUUCUUUUCAAGUAGCUCCCUCAAUUAAAUGAUUCUACCAAAGAACUUUUACCAAACCGAACUUCUUAUUACUCAACUUACAAACCUGACGAUCAAUAAUAUCAAUUGGGACCUCCUCGUUAGAGAGAUAUCAUUCACACCCACACUAUCUAUAGGCACACUUAAUGUUAGAUCACCAAUUAAUUUCUUCAACAAAGACACAUGAAAAAUCGAAUGCCUUGAUGCUAAGUCUGCAGGUAAAUCUAACUCAUAGACUACAUUGCUAAAGCGAUCCAUAAUCUUAUAAGGACCAAUGUAGCAGGGACUGAAUUUUCCUUUCUUGCUAAGUUUUACCCCUUUAUGGGUGAAACUUUCAAGUAUACAAAAUCGCCAUUAACAAAUUCAAGCUCCCCUCUCCUAACAUCUGCAUAGGACUUCUAAUGACUUUGGGAUUUUUUGUGCCUUUCUCUAAUCAAUUGAACUUUCUCCAUAGCCUCAUGAACUAAAUCUAGAUCUAUCAAAGUAGCUUCACCAACCUCAAACUAACCAAUAGGAUAUUUACACCUUUUACCAUAAAGUGCUUCAAACAGGGUCAUCUGAAUACUAGAGUGAUAACUAUUAUUAUAGAAAAACUUAAUCAAAGGAAAAUGGUCAUCCCAACUACCCUUGAAGUCAAUCACGUGUGUUCUGAACAUGUCCUCUAAAGUCUAAAUGGUCCACUCUUCCUGACCAUCUAUCUGCAGAUAAAAAGUUGUACUAAGACGAACUUGAGUACCAGACCCUUCUAAAAAGUCUUCCAGAAUUGGGAGGUAAACUGAGCACCCCUAUAUGAAAUAAUUGUCAAAGGGACUCAAUGAAUUUUUACCAACUCUAUAAGAUAGAGUCUUUUAUAAUCCUCAAUUGAAUCUAAAGUGUUAACUGGCAGGAAAUGGAUGGCUUAGUCAUUCGGUCUACAAUAACCCAAAUAAAAUAAUAUGUCGACGAGUACGAGGCAACCCUAUAAUGAAGUCCAUAUUCACAACUUCCCACUUCUAAGUAGGAAUACUGAUAUUAUGAAUACCUCUAGGUCUCCGGUGGUCAACCUUAAACUACUAGAAAUUUGGAUACUUAACCACAAGUUCAACGAUAUCGUUCUUUAUGUUAUUUCACCAACAGACUUUCUAUAGGUCACGAUACAUCUUAGUGGCUCCUGGGUAAAUAAAAUAUCAAGAAUUGUGAACUUCUUUUAGAAUCUACUAUUUCAAGUCAUCCACAUCUAGAACACAUAGCAUGCCCUAAAAAUAAAGAACAUCAUCCCCCCCAAAAGAGAACCUCAACCUUUUGACUUUGGACCGCUCCUUUCAACUUAAGCAAAAUAAGAUCACUAUCUUUCUUUUCUUUCACCUCAUCUAUCAAUGAAGAUUCUGAACCAAGAUACUACCUUCGGUUGAAUUAACCCGCUAAAAUCCAAAUCAAGAAAGUUGAUGAACCUCUCAAACUAACUCUUUCUUCUCAUCCUCUAUGUGGGAAACACUUCUCAUAGAUAACCUGCUAAAGCAUUAGCCACUAUAUUGGUGUUACCCGAUUGGUACAAGACACUCAUAUUAUAAUUCAUCAAUUACUCUAGCCAUCUCCACUAAUAAAGAUUUAGAUCUUUCUGACUGAAAACAUACUAAAGGCUUUUGUGAUCCAUGAACACAUAAACAUGAACCCAAUUAGGGCAAUGCCUCCAAAUCUUUAAGGCAGAAACAACUAUUGCUAUUGUGCCCAAGUGCAUAUGCAAGUGUACGUGGUUUAACCAAGUAAUAUAGUGUCCUUAAAAAAAGUCAAGUGCCUAUCCCACAGGGACUACCGUUAAGAAACUAUCCUAGACUAGUCCAUCUAUAAGAUUAACUCAAUGCUAACGUAACCACAAUAUUGUUUGAGAGUAAACUAAGAGUAAACUUAUCAAUGCAGAAAAUUAAAUGUUCUUGAACAACAUUGGAGAGAAACCCUGGGUCAAGGCACUGCGAACAAUCAUACUAUGUUAUAGAAUUUCAUUAGCUAGUUUAUUUAUCUUGGUUGUUUGUUCAUGGAGUCUAUACCAUGACUAUGGUCUUCCGAACCUUUAAUAAAUUAUCCAACUUAGCCCUACAACUACAUCGUUGAGCGGGGAUAUAAGAACUAAGAUAAAUGCUUUAAUAUCCAUACAUACUUGAACCAAAUAGGGAACUUAAGUAUAUUCCUAUCCUAAGUUCAAAGCAUAAUAUCAUUCUGUGAAGAUUACGAUCCUAUUCUAUUCAUCCCACAUUCCACUCUACCAUUUAUCCUCCCGAGUUCACUAUAGAGUUAUAGCAUAUAUUCUAAGGGCCAUGAAUUAUUAAAAUAGUGAUAACAAGGAUAAAUAAACAAUCAAAUAUUAUAAUAAAGAAAAAAAAAUUAAUUUCAAACAAUAGUAAUCAUGCUCUUGGCCUUAAAACCAGAAAAAGGGUGUUUAGCCGCUCAUAGACGUAACAAGAAUCACAAUGAAUGAAUACAUGUUAAAAUCAAUAAACAAACCAAGUUAAUGGAGGAAAAAUCCUAAUUGAAGUAUUCUACAGCCUCCCUUCAAGUUUCAAGGUCGUCCAAGGUGUCUAUCAUAACAACUAAGUGUCCUAUUUAUACUUGGACACAAUUACAGAUUUUGACUUAAGGGCAUGCCACGCCAAUAUCGUAACAUGUAGGUAGAGUGGCAUGAUAAAAAUGCAGAGGAUCACUGGAAAUUGACAUCCCAAAUGUUUCCAAUAGCAUGCCAUGGCCUUAUCGCCGCACCUAGGCAACAUGGCAUGUCAAGGACAUCAAAAUGUCCAACUUUGAUCAUGCCUUGUCCAUUGUUUUUGUCCUUUAAAGUCCUAGCUUUGUAGUGUUAUUUCCAUAUGAUAUCCAGCUUGUUUAGCAUCCCUUUAUCAUCAUGAUCAUCUUAGCAAGAUUCCUAUAACAUAAAAGACCACACAUUAGACCGCAAAACACAUACGAUUCAAGACAACGAACUAGUAAAAGUCAUAGCUCAAGCUAAGAGUACUAGCUUUUGUCCCUUAAUUCUUAACUUGGUGUUUUGAAUACCAUUUCACUAUGAACACACUUCAAACAUUACAUUUACAUAACAUAACACUUAGAUUCUAAUUUCAACUAAUAAUUACUCAUUAAGCACACGAUAAGUUCUCUAAACUAAGCUAAAUAAGCCCGGAUAACAACACUACGGUAUAUAAAUCCACCUCAGAUCAUCACCCCAUCCUUAAAGCCUUGUUCGUCCUCAAACAACUCUUUACUCUAAGCAUCAUAAUCAGGGAAGACUAUAGACUUCUAUAACAAGCAAGACAUUUAAGCUAGUAAUACAAUGACUACACAAUGACUACACAGAUUGCAAGUUCUUACACUAAGCAUCAUAAUCAGGGAAGACUCCAUACUUCUACAACAAAAAAGACAUUCAAGCUAGUACUAUAAAGACUAAUCAGGCUGCAAGUUUUUAAACUAAGCAUGUUAGACACAAGUGAGAACUCAAGAACAUUACUUCAAGACAUCCUAACCUUAAGAAUUGACUCACCAAGUUGGCACACUCAUGAAUAUUACUCAAUCAAAAAGAUCAGACAAAUCAUCCAACUAUCAUCAAACAUUUACCCUCACAACAAGAGAGUUGUCCAUAAUCACUCAUGCAGAUGUAAUUUAUCAUAGAAUGGGUACAAGAAAUAGACUACACUCACUCUCGCACAGAAUUCACAAGUUACACAUGUUGAACCAUAGGCUAGCCCUUAGUGUCGUACUCCACUAAUAUCAGAAUAUUAAGGCUCAAGAUCAAAUAGGUCUUUAUGGGUUGUAAUGUAAGCUAAAGGAUGGUUAUGAACUAUUUGGCUAAAAGUAGUGAAUAACUUCCUUAAGUGCAUUAAUACAUCACAUAAACAUUAAGAUCAAUUUAUUAACAACCAAUUUUCUCCACUUCUAUCAUACCCAUUCUUUUUUUUUCCCAUCUCAUUAAGCCAGUCAGAUAUAAUGUGAAGGGAGUAUUCUUCAUCAACUCUAGAUCAAAUUUUAGCACACUACCUCUCUUUUCAUCACACAACUCCCACUCAUAAUAUGUAUCAAUUUUGAAACACUAAUAGUUAAUUUAUGGGGCCUUAGUUUCACCUCUUUUCUUCUUGUUUUUCACACUUCUUAACUCAUUAAGUUUUCACUAAAGUGCUUGGGAGCUUUGGAUCAAAUUAAGGUCAACCAAAAAAAGGAACAGGCUACAUAUACAGCUACCAACAACAUAAGCUAAAGGCUCAAUGAGGCUAACUAUAAUUAUGCACAAGGGUAGGUCACAAAGGGUAUGAAACAUGGUUAUCAAAGAAAUUCCUAUAUCAUCGCCUAAACCCACACUCUUUAUUUCACUUUGAACAUAUACCAGACAAGUUCAAGAAAUCAAAUGCAACAAGGAAAAACCAAAAACCUUACACCAUAAUGGCACAUUCCCAACUCAAGUAGGAUUAUUAUAAACUCUCAACCAAGUAAUCACAUGAAUUCAACAUUAAACCCACAAGAUUCAAGAGUCAUAACCCAAAACCUAGGAGUCUCAAAAGUAGUAAUACACACAAACAACAUGCUUUUACACACAAAACCCACUUGCAUCAUGUAAUCAUACAUAUCACCAGCAAGAACAUCUCACCAAACUAAUAUAAAAAUUAAAAAUUUACUCCUAAAAGGAAAAAUAAUAUUGGGUUCAAGGGACACCCUCGUAGAAAAAAAUCAAAAAGAACAACCACGGGGUAGGUGAAGUGUGCACCUACUAGACUGACCUAACUAAACAAAAAACUAAAAAGCAAAAUCAUUUUGUAAUUUUUUCAAAUUUAUCAAAUUUAGGGAAAAACUAGAAAAACAAUUAGAAAUUAAGAUCCUACAACUUCACUUUAACUGAAACAUGGGAAUUUUCUCACCCCACACUUAAAAAUCUACUUUGUUCUCAAAGUUGAAUUUAAAGGCAGAGAUAGAAGUACUCCUUGAGGCCUCUAGGCCUAGCAAUAUCUUUAAACAUCAAGAGGGUCCGAUGACCCUACAUUUAAUCUUCGCCAUGCUUCUUAACUUAGGUUUUCAGUACUCAGACUUCCCAUCAACCUGUGACUCAACAAAAACAAAAAACUAUGUGAAGUAAAGACUAAAAUACAAAAAUAAAAAAACUACCUUAACUUGGGUUGCCUCCCAAGCAGCAUCUGAUUUAGUGUUGCGACAUGACCUAACAUCACGAUUAAUCAAAUUUAUUCAUCCUUUUCCUUCUACUUUGAGGCCAUCUUCUCACUCUUCUUUGACCUCUUAAGUGUGAACUCUCAACGUCAACAACUUUUUCAAUAAUAUAGUGGUCUAAAAAAGCCAAGUAUCUAUCCCAUAGAGACUUGUGUUAAGCGCGCACACACAAGCGUACGUGGUCUCACCAAGUAAUAUAUUGGCCGCAAAGAAAGCCAAGUAUCGAUCCUACAUAGACUAGUGUUAAGCAACUAUCCCAGACUAGUCUAACUAUUAAGAUUAACUCAAUGCUAACAUAACAACAAGAUUGUUUGAGAGUAAACUAAGAGUAAAUUUACAAGUAUGGUAAAUUAAAGGUUUUUGAAACAACAAUGGAGAGAAACCUAGGGUCAAGGCACUGAGAAAAAUCAUACUACAUUAUAGAACUUUAUUAGUUAGGUUAUUUAUCUUGGUUGUUGGUUCACGAGGUCUAUACCUUGAUUAUAGUCUUCCGAACCUCUAAUCAAUUAUCUAACUUAGCCUCCCAACUACAUCGUUAAGCGGAGAUGAGAGAACUAAGUUACAUGCCUUAGUAUCCAUCCCUUACUUGAACCAAAUAGGUCACUUAAGUAUAUUCCUAUCCUAAGUGCAAAUCAUAACAUCCUUCUAUGAAGAUUACAAUCCUAUUUUAUUCAUCCCAUAUUCUACUCUACCAUUGAUCCUUUGGGGUUCAUAAUAGAGUUAUAACAUAUAUUUUAAGGGUCACGACUUCUUAAAAUAAUGAUAAAAAGGGUAAAUAAACAACCAAAUAUGAUAAUCAACCAAAGAUGAUAAUCAACCAAAACCAAAUCAAUUCCAAACAAUAGUAAUCAUGUUCUUGACCUUAACCCCAAAAAGGGUGUUUAGUUGCUCAUAGACGUAACAAGAAUCACAAUGAAUGAAUACAUGUUAGAUCCAUAAACACGUUAAAUUCAAGGAAGAAAAAACCUAAUUUAUAUGUUCUACAACCUCCUUUAAAGUACCAAGGUCAUCCAAGAUAACAACUAAGUGUCCUAUUUAUAUAUGGACACAAUUGCCGAUUUUCACUUAAGGGCGUGCCACACCAAUAUAGCACCAUAUAGGCAGCAUGGAAGGCCAAAAAUUCAGAUGAUCAUUGAAAAUUGACAUGCCAAAUGUUUAAAAGGGAUUGACACGGCCUUAUCGCGAUACCUAGGUAGCGUGGUAGGCCAAGGACAUCAAAACUUCCAUCUUUUAUCAAGCCUUAUCCAUUGCUUUUAUCCUUUAAGUCCAAGCUUUGUGGUGUUGUUUCCAUGUAAUAUCCAGAUUGUUAGCAUAAUUUUAUCAUAAUGAUCAACUUACCAAUCUUCCUACAACAUCAAACACCACAUAUUAGAGCACAAAAUGCAUACAAUUCAAGACAAUGAACAAGUAAAGGCCAUAAAUCAAACUAAGAAUGCUAGCUUUUGUUCCUUGAUUCUUAACUUGGUGUUUUGACUCCUAUUUCACUAUGAACAUUAAAUUUACAUAACAUAACAUGUGUAUGCUUAUUUAAAACAAGAAUUACUCAUUUAUCACAUGAUAAGUUCUCCAUACUAACCUAAAUAAGCCGAAUAACAACACUGAGGUGCAUAAAUCCACCUCAGAUCAGUUGCCAAAUCAAGGUCUUGAGUUGAGAAAUUCUUUUCAAGAGGCUUGGGUUGUCUAGAGACAUAUGCUAUAAUCCUUCCAUGCUACAUCAAUAGACAACCAAGGCCAACUCUAGAACCAUCAUAAUAGUCCACAAACGUAUCUAAACCCUCUGGUUGAGUCAAAGUUGAAGCAUAGGUUAGUCGAGUCUUCAACUCUUGAAAACUCUUCUCGCAUGAAUUGAACCACUAAAACUUGACUUUUUUAUGUUAGUCUGGACAUAGGGGAAGCAAUAGAGGAAAAUCCCUCAACAAACCAUCCAUAAUAACCAUCUAAACCCAAAAAACACUUGAUAUAUGAUGGAGAGAUAGGUCUAGUCUAAUUUCUAACUGCUUUGGUCUUUUGAGGAUCAACCUGAAUGCCUUUAUAAAAAAUAAUAUGGCCAAGGAAGGCUACCAUCUUUAACCAAAAUUUACACUUGCUAAACUUAUUGAAUAGUCGGUGAUCAUUGAGAGUCUGUAAUACAAACCUCAAAUGAUCUUUAAGUUCAUCUUCACUCCAAGAAUAAUUGAGGAUAUCAUCAAUAAAGAAAAUGAUGAACAUAUCCAAAUACUGCUUAAAUAACCUAUUUAGCAAGUCCAUAAAGCUGCAGGAGCACUUGUUAGUUCAAUUGACAUAGCAAUAAAUUCAAAAUGACCAUACCAAAUUCUAAAAGUUGUCUUCAGAAUAUCAAAUUAUCUAACUCUGAGCUGAUGAUAGCCAAAUCUAAGGAAUCGACACCUUGAAAUUAGUCAAAUAAUUUAUCAAUCUUAGGAAUGGGAUACUUAAUUUUUAUUGUGAUUUUGUUCAACUGCUGGUAGUCAAUGCACAUUUAGAGAGGGCCCUCUAUUUUGUGUAUGAAGAGAAUUGGAGCACCCAAUAGAGAGAUAUUAGGCUUUAUAAAACUCUUUUGUAGAAGAUCUUUUAACUAUUACUUCAAAUCCUUAAUCUUGGUUGCAUCCAUUCUAUAGAGUGGAAAAAAAUAGGUUGGGUAUCUAGAAUGAGAUCUAUUCCGAAGUUGAUUUUCCACUUGGGGGGAACUCUAAGAAAAUCUUUAGGAAAUACCUGUAAAUCAUUAACUACUCCUUAAGAGUUGGAGUCUCAAAAUUUGAAUCCUUAACUCAAAAAAGAUGUUAUAUACACCUUUGAAAAUUAUGUUUCUACGCUAAAGGUAAGAGACAAAUUGACCUAUAGGCACCGAGGUACUACCUUUCCACUCUAUGACCUAUUCAUUUAGAAACCAAAAUUGGACUAUUUUGUUUGUACAAUCAAUAGAGGUGUUGCAAGAGUGGAGACAAUCCAUGCCAAGAAUAACAUCAAAAUCUAUCAUGUCUAACUCUACAAGAUCAAUUGAGGUGACUUUCUGAGAAAUUGUGAAUGAGAAAUUUCUACAUACCCAUCUAGCUAUGACUGAAUCACAGAUUAGAGUAAAGACUAAGAAGGGUUCUGAGAGGAUUUUAGGACUGACACUGAAGUUUACUACUAUAUAGGGAGUCAUGAAGAAAAGUGUGUCUCCAAAAUCUAACAAUGUAUAGAGAUAAAUAUGAAAGAUAUGUAAUAUACCAAUAACCACAUUAGGAGAACCCUCCCGAUCUUGCCCAGUCUGAAGGGCAAAGAAUCUACUUUGAUGUUGUCCGUUAGCUAUAGUAAAUGAGGCACCCUGUUGAGUCAGGAGACUUACUAGAGAAAUUAAAGGGUUAGAUUAACUUUGCUGACGAGUAUUUCUACCCCUGGACAUCUCCUUAAUCUAUGGACUCACUUACCAUACCUAAAAUAAAUAUCACUACCAUCUAUAUGCUCAACCUUGUGGUUCUUACCACACUUUUUGUAAAUCGAGUUAGUAAGACCAUUAUUACACUACCCCAGGACUUAGAGCAUAGUGCUCUAUCCUAAUUAUCUUGCCUAAACUUAGGCAGUGGAGCAUUAGUAGAAGAUAAGUUAAAGCCAAAGAUUUCUGGUGGAACCAAGAAUAAUUACCACCAUCUUACCUCUGUUGAGAGAAAUUAAAGCUACCUAUUCUGUCCCUUCUACUCUUCUUUUUCUUCUCCUUGAUUUUCUCUUCUUAAAUUUGUUGAUAAUGAACCAUCAACCUGGAGAUGUGCAUAUCAUUAACCAAGAUUGCAGUCCUACACUCUUUGAACACAUCCUUAGAAAUACCAAACAUAAACAUACUCAUAUGGGCCUUAGAAUCAAUAACCAUUAUCAGCACAUACUUAGCCAGUUGAGUAAGCUUGGGAGAAUACUCCUUUACACUCAUGUUACCCUGCUUCAAAUUAAUAAAAUACUAAACUUUGUCUUCCCUUAACUCAAGUGGGAAGUAACUGUCCUGGAAAGCAGUUAUCAAACUCAUCCCACUCUACCGAUCCUGUAUCCGUACUUCAACAUCUUUCCAUUAUUUAUACCAAGUGUGAUCAAUUAUUUUUUAUCAAUUUAGACAAAAAGCUUUCUAGAGAAAAAACUUAGAAACUAAAACCUAAUACUAACUGCAACUAAUAAGGCUUUAACCACCACCGAUGGGGCCACCCCACCGGAGGAUUUUCCAACCCUACCAUCCCAAAACAAUUUUAAAAAAUCAAUACUAGAUUAUCCAAACCCCAUUAACACUAUAGACUAGAAUCAUCACGCGAAUAUCCUUAAACCUAAACCAAUUACCUCAUCAAUUACCAAUGUACCACCAAAACCUGUUGUUAUGCUAAAUAGCAAGCCUAAUAUUACACAGAUAAAGUCAAAAGUAAAAUCUUUCAUCAUUCUAGAGAACUUACAAUAUGCUAUUGUAAGGAAACUUUUGUAUGGAAAUCAGAUAUCAAUGAACUAAGGAAAAAUAUUUUGGGACAAUGUAGAAUAAAAAAUGAAUGUAAGUUGGGAGUUUUGAAUUCCAGGCACAUAUUAAUCCGGCUUACUAGUUCAAAGGAUUAUGCGCAGAUAAUAUCUACUGAAACGUUCUAUGUUAAAGCAAAGAAAAUGUAACGGCAUAUGAAAACACUCAAAUAGGAUCCCAGAUAUGGAAAUAAUAGUUAGAGUUGCAUGGAUUUCAUUACCAGAUAUACCACCAAAUUUUUUUGUAAAGAAGGAAAUUUUCUCUAUAGCAUUUGCAGUAGGGAAACCACUCAGCAUGGAUAUCACGACGAGGAAUCAAACAAGGCCGAGUUGUGCAAAAGGGAAAAUUAAAGUGGAUUUAGUUGCAAAACUACCACAAAGGGUGAGAAUCAAUGAGAAAGAUGAUGUAAUGGGAGAGAUUAAGUCAAAUAAAUUAAAAUCCAAUUAUUAAAUGCCCAAGUAUUGUAAAUAAUAUGGCUUACAAGGGCAUGAUAAGAAAAGUUGUUGGAAAAUCCAUUCAAAGUUAUUUGAAGCAAGGAAGGAGGAAGAUUACAAAGAGAAAGGAGAGGAUGAGAUAGAAAAUUACAACAAUGUAGCAGUACCUAAUCAAAGAAAGGUUCUAUCAGGUGGGAAAAUGAUUGAAAGCAACCAAUACAAACACGAAUGGAUGAUCAAAGAAGAAAUAAUUAUAGAAAGGAUAAAUAUAGUCAUAUUCAGGAUAAACUUAAGUACAAUAAUAAAAAUCGUUUUGAAGUACUUAGAGAAAAGAAGAGAGCAGAAUGGAUAAAAAAGGGGAAACAAAAAGAAUUGUCAGUCAAGGAAUGGAUAAAAGAUUGGGUGAACCAAAGUUUUGGCAAAUAAAUAGCGGAAGGAGGAGGUUGAUAACAUAGAAAAAAUAUAGAAAAUUAAGGACAAGAAUUUGGAGAAACAAGUAUAGCAGACAACAAAUCAAAAAUAAAUUAAGCAAAUCAAUAAUAAAGGCGACAAGAAGGAAGAUGGAGCUAUAGUGAUAUCUAAAGUGGAUAACAAUGAAGAACUUGCUCUGGCUGUCUAAACUAGUGACGUGUGAAUAUGGGUUGAUGUAUGGAUAAGGAGGACUUGGAGCCUAAUAUAGAUGAGAUAGCCAGGGAUGGAGAUUUAUCUCCAAAAUAGAUUAAUAAAUUGAAGAGAAUCAUACAAAAUAGAAGAAGACGGGCAGUGUGGGAAUGUCGUUAGCUCAAUCAAUUUUAAGACAAAUAAGAAGAACAAAUACCAAAAUAAAUAAAGUCUAAUGAAUGCAUUGAUAGAGAAUAUAAGAUCAGUGAACACCCAAAAAGCAUUCACUAGAUUAGUUAACAUGCAGAAGAGAUAUCACUUUUGUUUUAUUCAUCUUAUGAAAUCUUUCCAAGAUAGACAAGAAUUUGAAAUAUACAAUAGGAAGAUAGGGUUAAAAUAUGUAGUAUCAAUGUUAAUAGGAAAAUAUAGGAUUUCGUAGAUGAAAGUAUAGAGUUUGAUAUUUAAGUGAUGAAGAACAACAACUUACUCACAAGGUGUAUAAUCAAGGUCAGGAUCUAGUGGUGGUUGUUACUCAGGUGUAUGCUAAUGUACUCAAGGUGAGAGACUACAUUUAGGGGAUCCUUAUAUGAGUUAUCCUAAUUGUACAAACUUCAUGAUUGGUAGGAGGAGAUUUUAAUAUAAUCACUAAUGAAGAAGAAAAUAUAGUAGGACUCCAGUUAUAGAGGAGAGGUGAUGGAUUUUAAUUAUUGCAUAAAUAUGUGUGCAGUGGAUGACAAGGACUUAAGGAAGCAAGUACACCUGAUGAAAUGGUAGAACUGAUAAAGAAUGCAUCUUUAAGAGGCUAGAUAGAGUACUUUUGUAAUGAAUUGAUAAAAAGUAGAUUUCCAGCAUUAGAGGUGAAAUAUUUGGUAAGAAGUAGAUCAGACCAUGCUAAUCUCUCAUAACAUCAGCACUGAGAAUAUAAUUAACAGCUUUAGAUUUUUAAACUUCUGGUUGAAAGAGGGAUUAUUUAUAGAGGUAGUCAAGUAGCAUUUGCAGAUUUUGAAGAAACCUGUUUAGUCUAUUUUACUAUAAGAUAAAGAGACUAAAAAUGCACUGACUUGAUAAAGAAAGGCAACUUUUGGGAACAUAUUUUAGUAAAUAGCUACUCUAGAGGAAGUAAAAAGGUACAGGAAAUUCAGUUUGAAGUAGACCCUUCAAGAGACAAUAGAGAGUGGUUGUAUAAAUUUCAAGCUAGCAUGAGUGAAUAUCUUUAUAGGAAAGAGGACUAUUGGAAUCAGAAAGCAGGAGUGGAAUGGCUAAAAGAUGGGGAAAUAAAUAUAAAAUUCUUCUAUACCAUUGUUAAUAGAAGAAGAAGUAGAUUAAGGGUGAAUAAAAUCCAAACUAGGGGAAAGGAGUAGUUGGAACAACAAGAUGACAUUGUAGAGGUAGUAAUGGAAUUUUACAAUAAUUAAAUAAAAAAGCAGAAUGAGUAUUCAAAUUUUGAAAUGUUGAAUGAAUUGCCUACUAUAAGCAACAGUGAAGAGAGUGAAGAAAUGCAUGGAAUUCAAAGAAAGGAGAAAGUCUGGUAGGUAGUGAUGGGUUUAAAUAGAAGUAGUACAGAAGAACUUAAUGGUAUGAUAGGUUCCUUUUAUCAAGAUACAUAGAAUAUAAUUGGUGAUGAUAUGUAUAGAAUGGUGAAAACCUUCUUUUAUGGUACAGAUCUAUAGGUUUGUAACUCAUACAGAUGUAGUUCCACUUUCAAAGAAGGUGAUGGUGAACAAUUUUCAGACUUGAGGCUUCCUUGAGCAGUUUUAUGAAUAAAAUUUUCUCUAGGAUAAUACAUGAGAGGAUAAUAUCAGUGCUUCUAAGAAUAAUUUCCAAUGAGCAGGCUAGUUUUGUGCAAGGUGGGAGUAUAGCAGAAAAUGUCUUGCUAGUAUAGGAGAUUACCAUUAAAAUAAGAAAGAGUGGUAAGUCACCUAAACUUGAGACUAAACUAGGCAUGAUUAAAAAUUAUGAUAGGAUAGAGUGGUUGUUUCUAAUAAAAGCGCUAAGAAAGAUCAGAUUUAGUGAAAGAUUAAUUGAUGUGGUGUAUGGACUUAUGGAAAACAACGGGUACUCAAUAUUAUUGAAUGGCUAGCCUAAAAUCUUUUUUAGAUAUUCAAGAGGUAUUAAACAAGGGGAUCCCCUAUCUCUCACUCUCUUAAUAUUAGUAGCAGAGGUGAUGUCCGAAUCUUUAAACUACUUGAUGGAGAAAAAUGAUUUCAAAAGAUUUGGGAUGCUAAAAGGAAACCCUAAAAUUAAUUAUUUGGCAUUUAUAGAUGAUAUGAUAAUUUUGUGUGAAUCAGAAGUAAGAAUAAUGCAAAUAAUUAUCGAGAUAUUGGAGAGGUAUGAAAGGGUGUCCUAGCAGAAGUCAACAAAGAAAAAAGUGUCAUAUACUUGCAUCAUAGUGUGUCAGGAGGGAUUGUUGUAGUAGCAAAGGUAGCAACUGGUAUUUUAAGGAAAUAUUUUUCUUUCACCUACCUAGGUUGCUCUGUUUUUUAUAAAAAGAAAUUGUAAAGUUACUACGACCAGAUGAUAGAAGGAAUAAGCUCUAAAUUGUAGACUUGGAAAGGAAAAUUACUUUCUUAUUGAGAAAGCGUAAUUUUGAUCAAGAAUGUUAUACAGAGUAUACCUAUUCACAGCUUAUCAGUAAUGAAUCCUCUUAUAGAUAUGUCAAAUCAGAUACAAAAAAUAAUGCUCAAUUGUUUUGGAGUAGCUGUAUUGGGGGAAGUGGUAGACAUUGGACCAAAUAGAGCAAUUUAUGUCUACUAGAGGAGAAAGGAGGUUUGAAGCUUAGGCUAUUACAAGAUAUGUCAGUAGCCUUUUUUGUAAGCUUUGUUGGAACUUCAAAAUAAAGAAAUCAAUUUAGAACGAGUACAUUUGUAGAAAAAUACUACAAGAAAAUAAAUUGGAACUUGGUGAUGUGGAAAGUAGAAAGUGAAGGAUCUCAAGUAUCGAAGAAAAUAUUACAAGAAAGGGACUUACUAGAGCACCAGAUAUGGUGGAAUACAAGAAAUGGAUUAGCUUUUCUGGCAUGACAAUUGGUCUUGGCUGGAAGAUCUUUAUACUAUUAGUGGAGAUGAGUUUGAAGGGGAUGAUUCCUAUGAGACAGUCAAAGAGGCAAAAAGAGAAAGGGAGUGAGAUGUAGAGAUAUUAGAGAAUUUUCUUCCACUGGAAGUAGUAGGAAAUAUCCCUAUCCACAUGAAACCUCUAAGGGCAGAAGGGGUGAUGGAUAACCCAUGCUGAAUGUUAGACAGUAAAUGAGUCUUUACAAUUAGAUCAGCCUGGCAGUACAUCAAAUAUAAAGAAGAGACUAACAAAAUCUACAAGCAGUUAUGGAUUAAAGGUGUGCCUUUCAAAAUGGCAUUCUUCAUAUGGAGACUAUGGAAGCUUAAAAUCCCAAUGGAUGAUAGAGUGAGAAAGUGGGGUAUUGAAGGAACAUCUAAAUAUUAGUGUUGUGAUAAUCCAUCACAAUAGACACUAGCACAUGUGCUCCUAAGGUCAACUACUGCUAAUAAGAUUUGGUCAUACUUUUUUCCUUUGCAGCUUUAAACAUUGAAGGCCUCUCAAUUAAUAAUGUUGUGGUGGGGAGUAGAAGUAAAAAAGGAGUAAAAUCAUACUAUAAGGCUUCGCUAAGCGUAGUAGUAUAAGAAUUAUGGAAGAGGAGAAAUAACAAAAAACAUGAAGGAAAGAGGAGAUUUACUUAAAGAAUUAUUCAUAGUGUGGUUAGAAUAAUGCACAUACUACUAAGAGUAAAGAAGCCAAAUAUGAGUUUCUCUGGAAACUAACCAAGAAUGCUAAAGGAGUUAAGAGAAAUUCAAUCCUGGGGUGACAGUUACUAAAUUUUAUGGGAACUCCCACCCCAUGGAGAUUUACUAUAUGCAAAAGAUGCUAAAUUGGAUAAUACUACAAAUAUAUUAGCAAAAGUAACUCAAUACUGGAAGCAAGUAAACAUUGCAAGUAAUUAAGUUAUGGUUAAGUUACUAUUCAAAUUGAUUUGAUGCUUAUAAUGAAGGUGUUAACAGGGAAGUGUGCAUGUCCAUGGCAUAUAGCAAACAUAAUAGUAGAGAUUAAAGCAUAUCUUUAGGGUAAGCAAGUUAUGAUAUAGCAUAUUCUAAGAGAAGGAAACCACUUAGUUGAUUACCUAGAAAAUCGAGUAAUAGAUAUAGGUAAUUGCAGCUUUUUUGAAUUUUCAAUGCUUGGAAUCAAAGGGUAGAAAUAUAGUCAAUAGUGACCAGCUAAAGUGUCCAUAUUUAAGAGUAUUAUCUAUCAAGGGAUAAUUGGGUAGAAAAUGCUAAAGCAUAAGUUUUUUCACAAGAUAUAUAUUUGCAAAAGCCAUAGAGGCAUCAAAAAGAGUGAAAUGAUAUAUAUCCUAUUCUACUUUAGUGAUAAAAAAGGACUCGACAAAAUGGGAGGGUCUUAAGUCGGAUUGAACUAUAAGGUAGAAAUGUAGAGCUUCUCAUAUACUCUACUCUAGGUCCACCUACAAAAAAUGGAUGAUCAGAAAAUGCUUAGAGGAGGAAGAAGCAAAGAAGAAGGAUAUUUACCUAGUGAUGAAAGCCAAUAUCAACAGACGAUCACCCUCAGCAAAACUAAAUAAGCAUAGCCAUCCAUCAAAGAAUGCAACUGAAAAAAAACAAGUGAGAGCAGGAAAAAGGGCUACUAAAUCAAAUAGGGAAGGUGUACUACUUACUUUUUAAAGCUGACAUAUUAGCAAACAAAAAAACUAUGAGGACAAUAUUGAUAAUCCAUAUCAAGAGAAGGUAAAGGCACUAAUUGAUCCUCGGCGAUGACAUUCUUCAGAUGUUUGAGGUUUUAGGAAAGGAAAGAGUAGGGGAUGCAAUAGGAAAUCAUAACAUAGUUAUAUGUGUAAUAAAAAUAGAUGGGCUAGGGCUUAGUCCGUUGUGGGCCGAUAGAAUAGUCAUGUUUUGUGAUUUUUAUUUUAGGCUGAUUGGCUUGUGUAUUUUUUUUAUUGAUUAAUAAAAAACUCAAAACUUUCCUAAAAAAACAAGUGUGAUCUACUCCUUCCAAUUAAUAAGCAACCAAGUCAGCACUUUAAGUUAGAGUGACACCCAUGAUCUUAGUAACUUUCUAACUAUAAUCUAGCAACUAUUGUGGAUCCUCUUCUUACUUAGAUCCAAAGAAUACUAAAGAAUUCAUUUGAGUGAAGUCUUGAACUCUGGCUACUGUUGUAUUCACUAUUGGGUUGAAUGGUGCCACAAUCUAUUGGUUAUUAUGGGUAGUCAUAGACUGGGAUAACACAGUAAAAAUAACUUUGAAUUCGGCAUGAAAGACUUGCUCAUUCAAAGAGCCUGUUGGAGCUGGUGGUACUUGAUGGUUCUCGUUCCUGUUACCAUUUUCAUUUCUCCUUCUGUUGGCUCUUUUAGGAGGCAUUUUCUAUAAAGUCAUAAAGCACGAGUUAGAAGAAGAUUUUAAUAGAGUUCACACUCUAUCGCAUAAUAUGAACAUACAAAAGUGAAACUUUUUCUAUUCAUAGCCUCUCACUCAUAAGUAUGGCACACUUCACACCCAUGAACAAGACCUACUUAACGCGACUUUUAGACACCCUAUGACACUUUAAACCUGAGGCUCUGAUACUAAGUUUUUCAUGGCCCAAAAAUACCCCUAGUCACAAUACGAUACUUAGAUUUACAAGUGACCCCAAGCUAACUCACGACUUGACAUAACACUAAGAAUACUGAAAUAAAUGAUGAAAUACCGAGUAAAAACUAAAUUAAAAUGACAUAAUCAUAAUAAAAGCAAAAUCAAUAUGAGUGUCAAAAAUAAGAUUGUUUGAAAUAUUCAACAUGCUGAAAAUUUGACUAUCUGUCUGAACGCCUCUAAAUACGAUGAGUUGCCGAGAUAAGCCCUCAGAUAAAUCUAACUGUUUGAAACUAAAAUAAUAAUAUAAUGAAAGUAAUUAAAUCUAGUCCUGAGAUGAUGAGAACUGACUAAACUCUGUUACUGAUAUAGGUACAAAAUCGUCUAACCGCGAGCCAGAUAUUGAACCUUUGAACCUAUAUUAUAAAAUAAUAUAGUACAACAACAUUUAUGAUUAGUACUUUGAAUAUACUGAGAAUAUGGUAUAUGUACUAUGUUAUAUAAAUUGAAUAUGCUAAUGAUGACAUGAUAAACUAAACAUGGAGCUGGAAUAAGUAAACUGAUACUAUGACUAUGUAAUGAACAUAUAACUAUAUAAUAUGCUGCAUAAAUGAAAUACAAGGUCAUGCAAAGUAUGAGUCUGAAUUGUGAGAGCUACUAUUAACUGGCAUAAUCUAAUUUGAGCUAACUAGGAUUCAACUGUGACCCCAGCUGAAAGGGUGUUCUUCACCUUGCCAAAGGUACGAAUACUGACUGACUUGGAUCCACAAAACUUAUGUCCAAAAGGACUAAGGUGCCAAACCUGGUCUGACCGAUGACUCUUUAGAACCUAUGGUGGCGUUGUUGUUCUAGGACUUAGGGACUUCUACUAAAGUUAUAGCCAAACUGGUGGGUGAUAUUUCAUUUCUGCGUUCGCUUGGUGCUAAGUACUCCUCCCAAUCGAAUAACAACUGAUAAUUGUAUGGUUAAUUAAGCUAAAUAACUGAUAAGCUCAAAAUGUUGAUAUCUGAGACUGAAAUAAUAGACACUUUAUCUAGAAAGCACCCUACAUCAUGUAAAGUUAGAGUAUUGAGUAUUCAUUAACAUAUUCAUGAAAUCCUAGGUCAUCGAAUGUUCAUAACUCGCCAUCUUUGAAGAAUGCAACUACUCAUGACAAUUCUCAUAAAUUGAAUGACAAAAGGAAUUCAUAACUCAAGUCCAAAAUCAUGAAUUAUAUGAUAUGUUGAGUAUUCAUAAUUAUAAGCAUGUAAUGAUAUUAAAAUUCAUGGUAAACAUGGGUUCAUGGCUCAAUUAUAACAAACUAAAAGAUUAAAAAAAUCAUGAUAUUCAUGAACCCUAGACUCUAAUGAAGGAAUUAAAUGGAGGAAUUUUGUUUACUUCGUGACUCGAUGGGUGGAAGGAAACCCAAAGAUGAAAUUCCAUAUACCUGGAGAUUGAAACGACUUUGUGAAACCUUUGAAUUUGAAGUCUGAAGUUGAAGAACCCUGAUUUUGCCUUAGAAAAAGAAAAUCGCCUCUUUCUCUAUUUUUUCUCUAUAUGUUAACUGAAUUUUGAGUUAAUUAAUGAGAAAUUUAGGGCAUUUUAAUCUUAUAUUUUAACCUUAGAAUAGCUUAAACGACAUAGUUUUGGUAUUAAAAGGGUGAAAAAAACCAAACAACCUCUUUGAAAAUGUUAUAACAGUGCAAAACAGUUUUGACUGAUUGUUCAGGUGACAGACCGUCAAUAUGAAUAAUCGGUACUCGAAUCAUCACAAAAUGACCAAGUUUUGGUUUUACUGUUUAAUCCUAAUGAUUUUCCCUGAUAUGUCAUCACAAGUGUGACGGUUUAUCACCGAACCAUCACACUCUGGCAGACAGACACCCAAUGGUAAAUUGAACAUAACAGUUUACUCUAGUAUCGGAUUAAUGAACGGUUAGUGAUGUUGGAAAUAAAAUUAAAAGACCUUUUAUUUGGUGAGUCUUUAUCCCUAAAACUCUUAAUGUGAUAGGAUUUAUAACCGUUUGAAGUUAACUAUAGAAAGAUUCUUCAUAAGAACUCAAGCAUUAAGGAAAGUUUCAACUUGGUUGUGAGCUAGGAGUUACUUGUGGCCUUAAUACUUGUCUAAAUCACUUCUUAUACUAUCAAAAUAUGAUGCUUGGUUCUACAUGUACUUGAAGCAUGACUUUAAUCAUAACUCAAUUUUUGGGGUUUUAGAGGACGUCAUGAGCUCACAUAGUGUAUGUCGGUUGUGAGAAACUCUCCAACAGGAAACUUAUUUUUCAAAAAAUGAUUUUGAAAUUGAGGCCAUAAUUUUGAAAAUCCUUACAGAAGUCUUAUAUUUAAUUAAAGGCCCAAAAUCAUACAUUAUCUUUGUCUUAGACACAAAAUAAUACAUAUUCUUUCAACUAGAGCACUAAUAGUCCUUUUAUUUAGUUAAUUGGUGCAUUUUUAGUCAUCACCCUAACACCAUUAAUUUUUUUAACAGCGGCCAAUCACCUUUCUAUCACACUAUUUUUUUCCUCCAAAAAAACCUCACUUGUAAAAUGUUACUGACAAGGGCUUGAAUCAGUUUGAGUCUUGAGAUUUUCUGUGUCACUAGUCACUAUGAUUUAGUCAUAAGGGCAUAAGUUCUUGGGGAUCUCUUGUGUUCAUGGACUGAAUGUAUAACCAAUGAGGGAGGAAAAAAUAUAUUCCAAUAAACACAAGAACUCCGAGAUCAGCCUCUUCACCAAUAGCUGGCCGACGAGGACGAACCAAGUAUAUUUGGGUUGCACACCAUAAGCAGUAUAAGGAAGGAAUUACUAACAUUAGCUUGCCAGAGUUGAUAACUCAUAACUUGAGUAGUUUCAGUGGCUUCACUCCGUAAGAUAGUUGCGACCCAAAAAUAAUAUGUUAUCGACAGAACAAGCAACUGAAACGAAAGUAAAAUAUCAUUGACUAAUCCAUCAGUAGACAACUGUUGAUGUAAAUAAAGUCAUCUAUCAAGCAACAACAUAAAACGCAAACCAUAAUAACAACAUUUGGAUUUAUUGGUGUGGGACCUUCUCCACAACCUGUGCUCAAUAUCCAAGUGUAUUGAGGGAAUAUCUUUUGAUUUAUACACAUCCUGACUUCUUUUAUUCUCUAUUCCUAGUUCUUUCACUCUUCAUUCUGUCAAAUGUCCUAAUUUUUAGAAACGAGUUCUUUUGCUCUUCAUUCUAUCAAACGUCUUUGCAUAUCAGGUAUGUAUUUUGAUCCAUUUGAGUUGAUUCCAUCUGCUCUUUUCUUGAUAAGAAGCUCCCCAAAUUGAUCCAUUCGCUUGAUUCCAUCUGCUCAAACUAAAUUGCAACUUUUUAUUAGUAUAAUGCUUAUUGUUUAAGCAUAGGAGGUCAUCACUGUUUUCUUGUUAGACAAAAUAUUUUGUGAAGUUAAUUCGUAGACUUUGUAUGUCUUACUCAUUUUUAUACUUAAUAAAGUCAAAAAGUUGUUCAUUGUUAAUAUUUUAGGUGGCAACCUUUUACGAUUAUGUUCUUAUCCCAAAAUAUCUUCAAGUGGAACAUUUCAGAAAUAUGACAUUUAAUCACCUCAAAGAGUUAAGUCGAAAGAUUUUGUAGUCUAUGAGCCUGAGUUACAGCAUAUAAAGCUUCUCUUAGCCAAAAUCUUCGAUGUUAAUGAAAAUUCUAACCAACCUCUACUGACUUGUUGAAAAUUCUGAAAUCACCUAACGUAGAAGUUGAUGUCAUCUUUGAUCUCCAUGAGUCUUAUCAGACCAUGAAAUUAAUAGAUUGAAAUAAUUAUUGAUGAAGUGAUACAGAGAAGUCUGAAUUAUUGAUACAACGUUGAUACCUCAAAGCUUAUUUGAUGUGUUUUUGCAUUGAUUCCCUUUUUUUAAUGGUGCUCGUAUUUACCUGAUAUGAAGGUGAGGAGGCUUCUGUUAAAAAAAUUAACGGUGUUAAGGUUGUGUCUAAAAAUGCACCACUUUUUAAACAAAAAGAACUAUUAGUGCACUAGUUGAAAGAAUAUGUAUUAUUUUGUGUAUAAAGCAAAAGAUAAUGUAUGAUUUUCGACUUUACUCUUAUAAGUUGCCUCCGCUGCUUUUCGACAAAAUAAAAAUUCAGUCUCAACAAUAGGAACUGAAAGAGCAAAAUGAAAGUUGUGAAAAGAAUCCCCGAAUUCAGUAAUGACAAGUGAGAUUUGCUCGAGUGAUUAAGCAUAUCCGUUAGGUUAAAGAUUCUGAGUCAGAUAAGUAAAAGGAUUCGAGUGGGUAGAAAUACUAUUGAUUUGGUAAAGAUGGUCAAAAAAAUAGAGGCAGUAUGAAUUCCUUCGUCUCCGUCGCUAGAAUUUCAAUACUAAGAAUGCAAUAAUGAGACUCAAAAAUUCCUCACUUUAUAGCAAUGUUACCCAAAAAACUCUCCCCAAAAUCUCUCUUAAAACUUCUCAAAUCUGAUAAAAACCCAAACACAACACUCUCCUUACAACCUGUUUGGAUGGUGGUUUCCCAUGGUAUGGUAUGGUAUGGUUACUACGGGAACCAUGUUUGUUUCCAUGGUUUCUUAAAAAUGAUGGUAUGGUAUGGUACUAUUCCAUGGUUUGAUAACUAUGGAAUGGAGCAAUUUGUUGAACCACCAAUUUGGUGGUAUAGCAUGGUUCUCCACAUUUUUUUCCAACUAUGCCCUUAAAUAAUUUUCUUUAAUCCAAUUUUACCCUUUUAACUUAAUAUAUUUUGUUUCAAAGCUUUUUUGCACUCUUGUCUUCUUUUCUGCGCCUCCUUGUACCAAGUUCUUCAUCCUUCCAUCUUCUUUUCUCUUCUACAAUUGUUCUCUCAGGUAUUUCUUUAAACUUAAUUACUUAUUGUUUUCUCAUAAAAUUUAUCAUAUUUAUUUAUCAAAUCUGUUGUAAUCUUUUUGGAAAUUUGGAAAACACGCAUCAACUUAUAAUUUGUUCUUUGUGUCUAAAUUGAUAUUAUUAUAGUAGGUGCUUUUCUUUUCAAAUUGAGUUUUAAAGUUAUUACUGUUUGUGCUGGUGUUGAUUAUCAUAAGUUCAAAUAGUGAUGACGGCAUUGUAAGGAAUGUAAAUUAAAUUGGGUUUUAACUUCAUGAUUUAUUGAUGCCUAUUCUUUAUUAUUAAAGCAAUAUUAAAGUAGCAGAUGUGUUUACAUUUGUUUUUUUGUGCAUGUAUGUUUUUUUAUAACUGUGUAAUCUUGUAGCUAAUUUUUAUUCAAAUAUAUACGUUCUUUAAUCGGUUGAUGCAUCUUUUUUAAUUUUAUUAUAAAUGGCUGAUCAAAAUAAUCAAGAUAGUAGUGACAUAUUGAGACAAGUGAGCUCAUUAGCGGCAUAUGCUGUUGUUCAAGUUGUUAUUUGGUUUUGGACGUAUGUUUAUGAAAUUGAAAAUAACCGACGUAUGAUCACACAUGAUAUACGGCUUGAAAGAGAGAAAAUUAGAGAUGAAUUAUUCAGCCAUCUAUUUUCGACGGAACUUUGUCAUAGUAUACUAAAAUGACCCCGUCAUGUUUUGCUGGUCUGUGUGAGAUUUUAGUUAGAGAUGGAGGUCUUAGACCAACAGUUCAAGUUACAGUUGAACAACAAGUUGCAAAAACACUAUACUUGUUAGCACAUAAUGUGACAAAUCGUGAGCUAUCUUUCAUCUUUCGACGAUCUGGAGAGUCGGUCAAUCGACAUUUUCAUGUUGUUCUACGAGCUAUCUUGGGAUUAUAUGAAAAAAUUAUCAAACAACCUAAUGGCUCCCAUGUUCCUUAUGAAAUUAGUAGCAGUCAAAGUUCUACCCAUAUUUUAAGGUAAACACAAUUCAACAUUAUUCUAAUUUAAUCUAAUAUAGAGAAUGUUUACAGUAUUAAUUGAUAUUAUAACAUCAGGAUUGUAUUGGUGCAAUUGAUGGAACACAUAUACGUGUUAAAGUUUCACAACAUGAAGCACCAAAAUAUCGUGGAAAGAAAGAUUAUCCAAUACAAAAUGUACUAGCUGUAUGUACAUUUGAUUUAAAAUUCACAUAUGUGUUAGCUGAGUGGGAAGGUACAACGUCUGAUUCAAGAAUCAUGAAAGAAGCACUAAAUAGUCAAGAUGCACUAAAAAUUCUCGACGGCAAAAUAUUAUAUAUAUUUAUCUAGAUUUAGUUAUAUGAUUAGUAUAUAAGUAAAUCUUUUACUUUUUAUGUUUAGGAAAAUUCUACCUUGUUGAUGCUGGACUUAUGUUGAGAAGCGGGCUUAUUACACCUUAUCGGGGGGAGCGAUAGCACUUGAAAGAGUAUUCAAGAAAUAAUCCACCUUGAAAUUCUCGUGAAUUAUUUAAUUUGCGACAUUCUUCUUUGCGUAAUGCUAUAGAACGCGCAUUUGGGGUUCUUAAACAGAGAUUUCCUAUAAUUUCUAGCUCAACUGAGUCAUCAUAUGGAAUUGAAACUCAAAAGUUGAUUAUAUUUGCAUGUUGUGUCUUGCACAACUAUUUAAGAUGUGUAGAACCAAAUGAUGAGUUACUCGCUCAAGUUGAUGCAGAGCUUAUGAAUGAUGAUAACACUGUGCAUGAAGAACCUCCAAAUUCUAGAGAAACUAACGAAAAGUUUAGGAAAGGGGAGUUGAUUUGAGAUGGCAUAACAGCUUGAUUUGAGAUGGCAUAACAGCUGCCAUGUGGGCUAAUUAUCAAGAUUAAUUUUCUAGAAAAAAACUCAACUGAUAAUUUGUGUCUCAUUUUUUUUGUUGAUUUAUUUACAACUAAUUUCGAGAUGCUGUUGUUUUUACUACAAACAUUGUGUUUUGUUGAUUUACUUUAUAUUAUAUUUUUUUAUUAAUUUUUAUGUGUGACAAUAUGUUCUUUUUUCAAAUUGUAUGAAUAUUUUAUCGUAAUUCUAUAGUGGUUGAUAUGGUGAAAAAGGCGAAAAAAUUCACUUCAAGUGAUCUAAACGUACAAGAUAAUUCUAUAUGUAUUUGGACAAAUGCGAUGGAUGACACAUUAGUUGAUGCCUAUUGUCAUGAGGAUGCACUUGGGCAUAGGGUUGGAGGAACUUUUACUACACACGCAAUGGAUAACAUUGUGAAGGAGCUACGAUCCAAAUUUCCAAAUAAAGUUAUUAACAAGGAAAAAAUUCAUAAUCGGAUGAAAGCAAUCAAAAGACAAUUCACCAAGUUUUAUGAUACAUUUCAUCAGUCGGGAAUAAGCGGAUUUGCAUGGGAUCCUAUCACGCAUAAGUGAGAUGCUGAACCUGAAGUAUGGGCUCAACUAAUUCAGGUAAAGUUUCAUCCCAUCAUGAAUAAGUAUGUUAUAUUUAUAGUCAUAGUUGAAUUUUUAUUAUUGUGGUAUGAUUAAUUUGCAGUGGUGAAAUUCUUCAAUAAACAUGGAAAAGUCACUUUGUUCAACAUUAUUUUCUUCAAUAAUAUUUUGCACUUAUAAUAUAUAGGUUAAGCCACAAGCUGCUGAGCUAAAGAACAAAUCAUUUCGAAAUUAUGAAAAGUUGGUGAUGCUAUAUGGAAAGGACAAAGCUACUGGAAAACAUGUUGAGACUGGUUUAGAUAUGUUAAAAAGGAACACAUCUAAGAAAAUCAAGUGCUGAUUCAUUGACUAUUGAUGAGAUAGAUGACAUGGGUUUUAUAAAUAUUGAUUCAUUGGAAGACAUGGAGGGACAUGAACAGGGCAACCAAAGUCAAGCACCUAGAGACGUGCCUACACAUACUGUCUAUUCAGAAGAACCAACACAUUCAAGAAAUAAAAAAUCUAAACAUGAUCAUCUUGAAGGCAUGACUGACAUGUUGAGAGGUGGGAUGGACAACUUGGCUGGUGCUAUUAACCGACUUUCACCCCUUCCACCUAUUUCUGAGAUCGAGAUAUGGAAUAUGUUGGAGGAGCUGGAUUUGGAGCCUCGUGUGAAUAUAAAGGCUUACAUAUUUCUUUGUCAAAAUGCAAGUGCAUGUCGCAUACUGAUUGGAUGUCUAAGGGAACAACGCAAAAAUCUUUUAUUAGAAAUGUUGCCAAAAUUAAGUUUAGCUUUUAUGUUUUUUUUUUUACUUUAUGGUCCUGUGUAAGAAUUAACUUUGGCCAAGUGCUACUGACCUUAUAUGCAAAUAUUGUAUCUUGAAUGUUGAGCCAAACAUGCUCUGGUAUGAAUGUUGUUCUGGUAUGAAUGUUGCUCUCUGCAUUUGAUUCCUCUGGUAUGAAGGCUUUGAUAGCCUGUUGUAAUAUCUUUUUCUUUUCUUUUUAAUGAAAUGCUUGCAUUUGAAUGCCUUUCACAAUCUUAUGCUUCACACUGCAAGCACUCAUACACAACGAUGUAAAUCUAUAGGAAAUGCAGCAUCCAACAUGAUAUUGGUUGUUAAUUUACUCUUUAGUUAUAGGUAUGUAAAACAGGUGACCGAUCAUCAAUUGAACUCACGCCAAUAUACCCAAAAGUUUCCGCAACUAACCUCAAAGAUACCAUGCAGCUGGUGAGUAGUGUAAUUAUAUAGGAACAAGGGUAGCCCCACUUUUAACCCGCCCAUAUCCGACUCAACCCGCCCGUUUGCCACCCCUAGUAACAACCAAUAGUUAAGAUGUGAAACUUGCGGAAAUGUGGCAGCUCUAAUGUGUGUUUGAUCGUUAACUCAAAAGAGAAAGACGAUUGGAAUUUCUCAGUUGUAUACCUUAAUAAAGCCCUGAAUCAUCAUGGAUAAAGACCCGAAAGCCAGAAUUCUGAUACUCUUCAACUUGUGUUUCUUGGAUAACUCUGGUUUAUUUGACGACAGAUUCGUUACAACGCCAUACCUCAAUGGACAACAGAGAAGAGAUGUCUUCGAAACAAGAAGGGAUCUCCUUAAGAAAUUGACAGCCUUGCAAAACCAAUCGUUCAAGUUGGGGAAAUGCAUCGUAAUCGACACAUCUCCAUUCUUUAAUUCUCUCGAUUAGUUGUAGUUUCAACAAUCUAAGUUGAAGGAACUCACCAUUGCUCACUUUCCAUUCCUCGUUCUCAAAAUGAAUGAGUUGUAGUCUAAGUGCCUGAAGGUUCUGGUGUUAUUGCCCUCACAGAAUCUCUGUAUCUAGGAGGAAGGCCUGCAAGCAAAUGAUUGGAGUCCUAAUCAUCAUCUAUUUAUCAAAUGAUCUUCACUUUUGUCCGUUACAUGGCUAUGUUGUGAUUGUAGUUGAGGAUAGGUGAUACAAAUUCUCAAGAGCAUACUUAGAGAUAGUAACAAAGUCGGAAUUCAUUUUCUUCAAUUGUUGGCUAGUUGCUCUUUUAGCUUCUAUAAUAAAACAAAACAAAAUAGCAUAAAAUUGCUGGUUGUUAACUAAGCAGGUUCACAAAACAUAAAAACUCUGGUUAUCUAAUACCAAACACAAUAGUAAAUUUAUAACAAUUAGAGAUAGUUUAGUAAAUUUACCUGUUAUUAUACAGUACCGUACCAUCAAUUCAAACAAAAAACCUAUUAUUAAAUCGUAGUGAACCAUACCGUCUAUCCAAGCAUGAUAUUAUACUAUAGUAUGCUGUUAUUGACAUAGCUUCACAACACCCAAACUACACACACGACUCCAUCACCUUCCACCACUUCCUCCGCAAACUCUCCCUCUCUUCAAACCCAAAGUUCCUCCCUCACAUAACCCAUAUUGUAAACAUGAUUCAAACUCAGAAAUGCAUAUGCUCUGAAGACGUCGCGUUGACUGUUAUUAAAUGUUAUGCGAAGAAUUCCAUGGUUGAUAAAGAUAUGGGAGUUUUUCAGAAUAUGAAGUAUGUUUUUGGAUGUGUACCUGGUGUUAGGUCAUUUAAUACCUUGCUUAAUGCAUUUGUCAUUUCGAAUCAGGUCAGUAGAGCGGAGUUGUUUUUCAAGUAUUUUCGAACAAUGGAUGUGUGUCCAAAUUUGGAAACUUAUAAUGUUUUAAUUAAGCUUCAUUGUUGAAGGAGGCAGUUUGAUAAGGCGAAAGCAUUGUUGGAUUGGAUGUAGGAGAGUGGGAAAAUGUCUGAUGUGUAUAGUUAUGGAACUUUCAUUAAUGGGCUUGCGAAGGAUGGCUUUUUGGGCGAGGCAUUGAAGGUGUUCGAUGAAAUGUUUGAGAGAGAGUUGUAUCCGGAUGUGACGUGUUAUAAUAUAAUAAUUGAUGGGUUCUUGAAAAAUGGCGAUUAUGAUAGCGGGAGGAAGAUUUAGGAGCGGUUGAUUAGUGGGACGAAUGUUUAUCUUAGCAUGGUUAGUUAUAAUGUGAUGAUUAAUGGUUUAUGUAGAUGUGGUAAGUUUAAUGAAGGAUUGGAACUUUGGAAUAGGAUGAAGAGGAAUGCACAAAAAAUGGACUUGUUUACAUGUUGUGCGUUGAUUCAUGGUUUGUGUGAGUUGGGUAAUGUUAAUGGGGCGGAGAGGAUUUUUAAGAAAAUGAUUGAAACGGGACUAUCACCUGAUGUUGUUGUGUAUGGUGCUUUGCUUAAUGGUUAUUGUAAGGUUGGGGAGAUUAAAAAGUGUUUUGAGUUGUGGGAGGUGAUGGGGAUAGAAGAUUGUCGCAAUGUUACUAGUUAUAAUAUAUUAAUUAGAGGUUUGUUUGAGAAUCGAAUGGUGGAUGAAGCGAUUUCUAUUUGGAAGCUUAUGGGUGAGAAUGGCGUUGUUGCUGAUUCAACAUCUUAAGGAGUUCUAAUUCAUGGGUUGUGUAAGAAUGGGUCUCUGAACAAGGCUUUGAAUGUCUUGCAAGCUGAAAAUGAAGGAGAAAGAUGUGUGGAUUUAUAUGCAUACUCGUCUAUUGUUAAGGGGUUGUGCAGAGAAGGAAGAUUGGAUGAAGCAACUGCAAUGCUUGAUUUGAUGGCUAAACAGGGAUGUACACUAAGUUCUCAUGUUUGCAAUGCACUAAUCAAAGCAUCUAAAGUUCAGGAGGCACUCCGAUUUUUUGGUGAAAUGCAUAGUCAGAAUUGUUCCCCAACAGUAGUAACAUAUAAUGUGCUUAUAGAUGGGUUAUGCAAAGCUGAAAGAUUUGGUGACGCUUAUGAGCUUGUGGAGGAGAUGCUGAAGAAAGGGUGGACGCCGGACAUGAUAACAUAUAGCUUGUUGGUGGAUGGUCUUUGCCGAAGCAAAAUGGUGGACCUGGCCCUGAAGUUGUUGAAUCAAAUUGUUAGCAAGGGAUUGAAGCCUGAUGUGACCAUGGUUAACAUUAUAAUUCAUGGCCUUUGCUCUGUUGGAAAACUUGAGAACACGUUGCAGAUCUUUUUGAGCAUGAGCCAAUGGGAAUGUCUCCCGAAUCUCGUCACAUAUAACACCCUUAUGGAGGGAUUUUAUAAAGCUAGAGACUGCAAAAAUGCUUCAGCAGUUUGGGCUCUCAUUUUAAGAGGUGGGUUUCAGCCUGAUAUUAGUUCUUAUAAUAUUACUCUAAAGGGGCUUGCUUCUUGCCAUAGAAUGUCAGAUGCCAUAUUAUUCUUUAAUGAUGCUCGUAAAAGGAAAAUCCAUCCAACUGCAGUUACAUGGAAUAUACUUGUUAGAGCAGUUAUUUGUGGCUGAACUCUAAGACGAUUUUCAUGGAGUACACACCUAGUGGGUUUUAGAUACUAAUUUUCUACCCCGAGCAGGAAAUUCAACUGCAAUUAGUUAAAUACACUUAUCUGAUCUCUAAGUUCAUUGGUUUCAAUCCCCCACUUCAAAAUUAUCAGGUCCGAAUCUCCUUUCUCUUGCUUUUUCAGUAACCUAGAUUUGCUUUCUUGCAAAUGUAAUCUCACAAUGUACUAAGAGAAGCAUAUCUUCAUGGUUGCAGGCCUACCAUUAUUACUCUCACUAUCAAGCCAAGUUUCGCGGACCUGUAUAUGAUAGUUUUUGUUUUAAGUUAUAAGUAUGCUCUCUACUCACAUCAGGUGAGCAGAUGAUUUUGCAUUUUUGCGAAAUGGGAUAUCCAAUUAGAAGCACCAUGCUCUGCUAAUCAUGUGUGGUUGAUACAGGUUGAAUGGUAACCUAUGUGAUUGAGACUCUAAAAUACUGGAUUUUGAAGGAAUUAUGCCGCCAACUCAAUUCUAGCUGAGUGGUAGUGAAAUCUUUCCUACCUCUCCUAUCUACUGAUAAGCUUGAUUAUGCUUUUGCUUAGUAAAGUGCUAAACUUUAUUCCGUAUAUAUUUCUGGUGCAGAAAAAUGAGAGGACAGUAGAGGCGACAGGGAUGUCCAUGCAAAAAAGUUGGGCUGCUUAUUGGGAUGAGAUAUUCUGAAGGUUAAGUUAUUGCUACUGUCCUUAGAUUUCUUUUGCUAACUACAUACUCCCUCCCUCCAUAUUAGUUGUCCACCUUACUGUAAAUACUUGUGCCAAAUUACUUGUCCAUUUACUAAAUCAAGACAAGAUUAAUUAAAAUUUUCCCAAUUUAGAUUUUUCAAUUACUAUUUUUUGAAAGCCUAAUUUAGAUUUUUCAAUUACUAUUUUUUGAAAGCCUAAACAAGUUUAUGAGUUUCAAAAGGCUUCAAUUUCGAAGGAGUGGAUAAAGGGCAAAGUAGUAGAACUACCCAUCUUAUUUAUGAUUUUUUAAGGAGCGUGUAAAGUGGAAAGCAGCCAACUAAUAUGGGGUGGAGAGAAUAUUUGGGUAAAAGGAACAAAAAUAUCAUCAAAAGAAUUGAUUAUGGGUACGGUAGAAUCAAGCCUAUUUCCUGCCGCGAAGGGGGG